This 1227-nucleotide ribosomal RNA is filed under the name uncultured bacterium. Its description in RNAcentral is "partial 16S ribosomal RNA". It matches the Rfam family "Bacterial small subunit ribosomal RNA", at positions 64 to 1284 of the family's 1533-position model. The record is from RNAcentral.
GAGCGAUGAACCAGGGCUUGCCCUGGGAAUUAGUGGCGAACGGGUGAGUAACACGUGGGCAACCUGCCCCAGACACCGGGAUAACCAUCCGAAAGGAUGGCUAAUACCGGAUAUGACCACUUUGGGCAUCCAACGGUGGUGGAAAGGAUUCUGGUCUGGGAUGGGCCCGCGGCCUAUCAGCUAGUUGGUGGGGUAAUGGCCUACCAAGGCGACGACGGGUAGCCGGCCUGAGAGGGCGACCGGCCACACUGGGACUGAGACACGGCCCAGACUCCUACGGGAGGCAGCAGUGGGGAAUUUUGGACAAUGGGCGCAAGCCUGAUCCAGCCAUGCCGCGUGCGGGAAGAAGGCCUUCGGGUUGUAAACCGCUUUUGUCAGGGAAGAAACGGCUCGGGCUAAUACCUCGGGCUAAUGACGGUACCUGAAGAAUAAGCACCGGCUAACUACGUGCCAGCAGCCGCGGUAAUACGUAGGGUGCAAGCGUUAAUCGGAAUUACUGGGCGUAAAGCGUGCGCAGGCGGUUAUGCAAGACAGAUGUGAAAUCCCCGGGCUCAACCUGGGAACUGCAUUUGUGACUGCAUGACUUGAGUACGGUAGAGGGGGAUGGAAUUCCGCGUGUAGCAGUGAAAUGCGUAGAUAUGCGGAGGAACACCGAUGGCGAAGGCAAUCCCCUGGACCUGUACUGGCGCUCAUGCACGAAAGCGUGGGGAGCGAACAGGAUUAGAUACCCUGGUAGUCCACGCCGUAAACGGUGGGUACUAGGUGUGGGUUUCCUUCCUUGGGAUCCGUGCCGUAGCUAACGCAUUAAGUACCCCGCCUGGGGAGUACGGCCGCAAGGCUAAAACUCAAAGAGAUUGACGGGGGCCCGCACAAGCGGCGGAGCAUGUGGAUUAAUUCGAUGCAACGCGAAGAACCUUACCUGGGCUUGACAUGGAGACUAAUCCGGCAGAGAUGUCGGGUCCUUCGGGGGUCUCACACAGGUGGUGCAUGGCUGUCGUCAGCCCGUGUCGUGAGAUGUUGGGUUAAGUCCCGCAACGAGCGCAACCCUCGUCCUAUGUUGCCAGCGGAUAAUGCCGGGGACUCAUAGGAGACUGCCGGGGUCAACUCGGAGGAAGGUGGGGACGACGUCAAGUCAUCAUGCCCCUUAUGUCCAGGGCUGCACGCAUGCUACAAUGGCCGGUACAGAGGGCUGCAAUACCGCAAGGUGGAGCUAAUCCCACAAAGCCG